GUAUUGGUGGUUCAGUGGUAGAAUUCUCACCUGCCAUGUAGGAGUCCUGGGUUUGAUUCCUAGCCAGUGCA
This 71-nucleotide transfer RNA is filed under the name Loxodonta africana (African savanna elephant). It matches the Rfam family "tRNA". Rfam says of the family: Transfer RNA (tRNA) molecules are approximately 80 nucleotides in length. Their secondary structure includes four short double-helical elements and three loops (D, anti-codon, and T loops). The record is from Rfam by way of RNAcentral. Lineage: Eukaryota; Metazoa; Chordata; Mammalia; Proboscidea; Elephantidae.